RNAcentral lists this non-coding RNA (342 nucleotides) under Chthoniobacter flavus Ellin428. RNAcentral describes it as "Bacterial large subunit ribosomal RNA". It matches the Rfam family "Bacterial large subunit ribosomal RNA", at positions 2572 to 2925 of the family's 2925-position model. Lineage: Bacteria; Pseudomonadati; Verrucomicrobiota; Spartobacteria; Chthoniobacterales; Chthoniobacteraceae. The record is from Rfam by way of RNAcentral.
UCCGGCUGUUCGCCGGUUAAAGUGGUACGCGAGCUGGGUUCAGAACGUCGCGAGACAGUUCGGUCCUUAUCCGCUGUGGGCGCAGGAAGAGUGAGGGGUUCAGACCUUAGUACGAGAGGACCGGGUCUGACGAACCACUGGUGUUCCAGUUGUCUUGUCAAAGGCAGUGCUGGGUAGCUAUGUUCGGAAAGGAUAAGCGCUGAAAGCAUCUAAGCGCCAAGCCUCUCCCAAGAUGACUCUUCCCCGAAGGAUCGUGGCAGACCACCACGUUGAUAGGCUUCCGGUGUAAGCAUGGUAACAUGUUCAGCUGAGAAGUACUAAUAAUCCGUUCGGCUUGGUCAU